RNAcentral lists this ribosomal RNA (372 nucleotides) under uncultured bacterium. RNAcentral's name for it is "bacterial SSU rRNA". It matches the Rfam family "Bacterial small subunit ribosomal RNA", at positions 524 to 898 of the family's 1533-position model. The record is from RNAcentral.
UACGGAGGAUGCAAGCGUUAUCCGGAUUCAUUGGGUUUAAAGGGUGCGUAGGCGGCUUUUUAAGUCAGUGGUGAAAUCUUGCCGCUUAACGGUAAAAUUGCCAUUGAUACUGACAAGCUUGAGUACAGUUGAGGUAAGCGGAAUGUGUAGUGUAGCGGUGAAAUGCUUAGAUAUUACACAGAACACCGAUUGCGAAGGCAGCUUACUAAACUGUUACUGACGCUGAUGCACGAAAGCGUGGGGAGCGAACAGGAUUAGAUACCCUGGUAGUCCACGCCGUAAACGAUGAUCACUCGCUGUAUGCGAUACACAGUAUGCGGCCAAGCGAAAGCAUUAAGUGAUCCACCUGGGGAGUACGAUCGCAAGGUUGAA